GGCCUUGUAGCUCAGUUGGCUAGAGCGUUGGCUGUACUAAGGCCUUCCCUUUGCUGGGGUGGGUUCGAAUCCCACCGAGACUG
Molecule: non-coding RNA, 83 nt
Organism: Schistocephalus solidus
Lineage: Eukaryota; Metazoa; Platyhelminthes; Cestoda; Diphyllobothriidea; Diphyllobothriidae
Source: Rfam